This 22-nucleotide microRNA is filed under the name Cordylochernes scorpioides. The record is from RNAcentral. Lineage: Eukaryota; Metazoa; Arthropoda; Arachnida; Pseudoscorpiones; Chernetidae.
GGGAAUUUUUGGAGGGGUACAG